GAUGAACGCUGGCGGCGUGCCUAAUACAUGCAAGUCGAGCGAACAGACGCGGAGCUUGCUGCGCUCACGUUUGCGGCGCACGGGAGAGUAACACGUGUAUCACCCCCCUAUCAUACUGGUAAAACUUCGGGAAACCGGAGCUAAUACCGGAUAAUAUAUUGAACCGUAGGGUUCGAUAGUGAAAGACGGUUUUUGUGUCUCUUCUAGCUGCAUACGGGCUGCAUUAGCUAGUUGGUCAGGUAACGGCUUACGAAGGGAACGAUGCGUAGCCGAGCUGAGAGGGUGAUCGGCCACACUGGAGGUGAGCCGCGGUCCAGAGUCCUACGGGAGGCAGCAGUAGGGAAUCUUCCGCAGUGGGCGAGAGCCUGACAGAACGACGCCGCGUGAGAGAUGAAGGUCUUCGGAUCGUAAUACUCUGUUAUGAGGGAAGAACAGAUGUGUAAGUAGCUAUGCACGUCGUGACGGUAACUGAUCAGGAAGCAACGGCUAACUACGUG
Molecule: ribosomal RNA, 497 nt
Filed under: uncultured bacterium
Lineage: Bacteria
Description: partial 16S ribosomal RNA
Rfam family: Bacterial small subunit ribosomal RNA
Source: RNAcentral